Long non-coding RNA from Lycium barbarum (goji berry), 1074 nucleotides. RefSeq lists it as uncharacterized. The transcript is spliced from 4 exons. The record is from RefSeq and is a predicted model, not a curated record. Lineage: Eukaryota; Viridiplantae; Streptophyta; Magnoliopsida; Solanales; Solanaceae.
CACAAAAGCUGGAAAUUUCAGAUGGGCUUAUAAAUAUUCCUUACAGGGAGAGAAAAAAUUAUUUGUUCUUGUAGCUUCAAAGGAGAAACAAGCUGGGGUGUUAAAUACCCAUUUAAGAUUCAACAAGGAAAUUACCCAAGAACACAUGAAAGGGGGAAAAGCUAGAUUUUCUUCAACAAGAUUGGAAAAUCAUUGGCAUCGUUGGAUCUUUUGUGGUAACAUUGAAUAGAUAUUCGAGUUUUAUUUCAGGAUUAUGUGUUGAUCAUCUUGAGCCAUGCGGUUAGGUCAGCUCUACAUAUUCCAGUUGGAUACUUUUGGGGAGACUCCACUUACUUUCGUGGAGCUUGAAUUGUUAUAUUUGUUGAGUCACUGGAGCCUGUUUCAGUUGACUAGUUUAAUCCUUGUCAUAGACAUUCCAUAGACGGUAGUAGUUCUUUCGGGUUGUAACUAUGGUUAUUCAUAUGGCAUGCAUACAUGAGAUUUUAUUAUUUUUAUGAAUAUUCCAUUUAAAUGAAAUGUGGUCAAUUUAACGGUUGUAUUAAUGCAUGGUUUUCAAUACUUAAAGGAUUGAAAUUUUCCAAAGGCUUCCGCAUUCAUGUUUCAAGUGCAUAAUUAGGGAUUAUUACAUGGGUUGGUUCGGUCAGGUCGGGUAGAAUUCCAGGUGCCGGUCACGUGGAUUUGGAGUGUGACACUAGCUUUUGGGGCUGAAUUAGGACCAAGAUCCAUCAAUAUAUUUGAUUUUAUCAUGUGUAAACUUUCUUCAUGGUACCAGAGCCAGGCCCAGGCCCAAUCCGAUGUGGGCCAUCAAAAAAAAGGGGCAGAAUGCCUCCGGACCAAUUGACCCGCAUAAGUACAACUAAGUCAGGGAAAUUCUUGAAAUUAAUAUUGUAUAGUUUGGAAUAAAUUACAACUCCGUGAUAUAAGUGUAGGAAUUAAUUGAAUGAAUCCGUAUUAUUGAAUUGUCUGGAAAUAAUUAAUUAGUAGUGAUUGAGAAACUACUAGGUGCUGGUAAUUUAACGGUGAUUAAUAAUAAUUGGAGUUAUUAAUGGAGCAAAAAGGUUUGGCUAGCUAAUG